AUGGGACAGCCCCCAGCCCUCCCGCCUCUGCUGCACGCCACGGGCCAGGCCCGACGCUCUCAGGCUGGUCUCACGGCCGUUCUCGUGCCCCCGCUCGCCCCCUCGCCUUCAGGUUGCUGCCUCGUGGUGUCGGGGCGGGACGAGAACCUGCAUCGGCGGUGAGGGAGGCCUGGGCGCGGCCCCCGGGAGGCUGUGGCGCGGGUCUGAGGAGAUUCCUUGGAAUGAAACCAUGGGAGAUCAGGGUUUGGGAGAGUCUCAUCAGAGCAGAUGGGCCAGCAGCAGCCAGAAAGCUUGUUGCCUUUGGCGCAGAGCACCAUCCUGGAUCUGAAUGUCUUGCCGGCCCUGUGGCUUAGCGGUUAAUUGCACACACUCCGCUGCUGGCGGCCCAGGUUCGGAUCCCGGGCGCGCACUGACGCGCCGCUUCUCCGGCCAUGCUGAGGCCGCGUCCCACAUACAACAACUGGAAGGAUGUGCAGCUAUGACAUACAACUAUCUACUGGGGCUUUGGGGGGAAAAAUAAAUAAAUAAAUAAA
This is a long non-coding RNA of Diceros bicornis minor, 533 nucleotides long. RefSeq lists it as uncharacterized. The record is from RefSeq and is a predicted model, not a curated record. The transcript has 3 exons. Lineage: Eukaryota; Metazoa; Chordata; Mammalia; Perissodactyla; Rhinocerotidae.